Molecule: transfer RNA, 67 nt
Filed under: Neorossia caroli
Lineage: Eukaryota; Metazoa; Mollusca; Cephalopoda; Sepiida; Sepiolidae
Description: tRNA-Gln
Source: RNAcentral
UACAUUAUAGUGUAUGUGCACGUAAAUUUUUGGAGUUUGAAGGGAAAGGUCAGUCUUUUUUUUGUAG